AGUGAACGCUGGCGGUAGGCCUAACACAUGCAAGUCGAACGGCAGCACAGUAAGAGCUUGCUCUUACGGGUGGCGAGUGGCGGACGGGCGAGGAAUACAUCGGAAUCUACUUUUUCGUGGGGGAUAACGUGGGGAAACUUACGCUAAUACCGCAUACGACCUACGGGUGAAAGCAGGGGAUCUUCGGACCUUGCGCGAUUGAAUGAGCCGAUGUCGGAUUAGCUAGUUGGCGGGGUAAAGGCCCACCAAGGCGACGAUCCGUAGCUGGUCUGAGAGGAUGAUCAGCCACACUGGAACUGAGACACGGUCCAGACUCCUACGGGAGGCAGCAGUGGGGAAUAUUGGACAAUGGGCGCAAGCCUGAUCCAGCCAUACCGCGUGGGUGAAGAAGGCCUUCGGGUUGUAAAGCCCUUUUGUUGGGAAAGAAAAGCAGCAGGUUAAUACCCCGCUGUUCUGACGGUACCCAAAGAAUAAGCACCGGCUAACUUCGUG
This 492-nucleotide ribosomal RNA is filed under the name uncultured bacterium. RNAcentral describes it as "partial 16S ribosomal RNA". It matches the Rfam family "Bacterial small subunit ribosomal RNA", at positions 29 to 507 of the family's 1533-position model. The record is from RNAcentral.